RNAcentral lists this ribosomal RNA (707 nucleotides) under Alphaproteobacteria bacterium. RNAcentral describes it as "bacterial SSU rRNA". It matches the Rfam family "Bacterial small subunit ribosomal RNA", at positions 1 to 763 of the family's 1533-position model. Lineage: Bacteria; Pseudomonadati; Pseudomonadota; Alphaproteobacteria. The record is from RNAcentral.
UUCAAACUUGAGAGUUUGAUCCUGGCUCAGAACGAACGCUGGCGGCAGGCUUAACACAUGCAAGUCGAACGGAUGUAGCAAUACAUCAGUGGCAGACGGGUGAGUAACACGUGGGAACCUUCCUCGUUGUACGGGACAACUCAGGGAAACUUGAGCUAAUACCGUAUACGUCCGAGAGGAGAAAGAUUUAUCGCAAUGAGACGGGCCCGCGUCGGAUUAGCUAGUUGGUGGGGUAACGGCCUACGUAGCUGAUCUGAGAGGAUGAUCAGCCACACUGGGACUGAGACACGGCCCAGACUCCUACGGGAGGCAGCAGUGGGGAAUCUUGGACAAUGGGCGCAAGCCUGAUCCAGCCAUGCCGCGUGAGUGAAGAAGGCCUUAGGGUUGUAAAGCUCUUUUGCCAGGGACGAUAAUGACGGUACCUGGAGAAUAAGCCCCGGCAAACUUCGUGCCAGCAGCCGCGGUAAUACGAAGGGGGCUAGCGUUGUUCGGAUUUACUGGGCGUAAAGCGCACGUAGGCGGAUUGUUAAGUCAGGGGUGAAAUCCCGGAGCUCAACUCCGGAACUGCCUUUGAUACUGGCAAUCUUGAGGCUGGAAGAGGUUAGUGGAAUUCCCAGUGUAGAGGUGAAAUUCGUAGAUAUUGGGAAGAACACCAGUGGCGAAGGCGGCUAACUGGUCCAGAUCUGACGCUGAGGUGCGAAAGCGUG